RNAcentral lists this ribosomal RNA (482 nucleotides) under uncultured bacterium. Its description in RNAcentral is "partial 16S ribosomal RNA". It matches the Rfam family "Bacterial small subunit ribosomal RNA", at positions 30 to 507 of the family's 1533-position model. The record is from RNAcentral.
AUUGAACGCUGGCAGCAUGCCUUACACAUGCAAGUCGAACGGUAACAGGUCUUCGGAUGCUGACGAGUGGCGCACGGGUGAGUAAUACAUCGGAACGUGCCCAGACGUGGGGGAUAACGAGGCGAAAGCUUUGCUAAUACCGCAUACGAUCUAAGGAUGAAAGCAGGGGACCGCAAGGCCUUGCGCGUUUGGAGCGGCCGAUGGCAGAUUAGGUAGUUGGUGGGAUAAAAGCUUACCAAGCCGACGAUCUGUAGCUGGUCUGAGAGGACGACCAGCCACACUGGGACUGAGACACGGCCCAGACUCCUACGGGAGGCAGCAGUGGGGAAUUUUGGACAAUGGGCGAAAGCCUGAUCCAGCAAUGCCGCGUGCAGGAUGAAGGCCUUCGGGUUGUAAACUGCUUUUGUACGGAACGAAAAGGCUCUGGCUAAUACCUGGGGCACAUGACGGUACCGUAAGAAUAAGCACCGGCUAACUACGUG